GACGGAAGGUGCAAGCGUUGCUCGGAAUCACUGGGCGUAAAGGGCGCGUAGGCGGCCUGUUAAGUCGGACGUGAAAUCCCUCGGCUCAACCGGGGAACUGCGUCCGAAACUGGCGGGCUUGAAUUCGGGAGAGGGAUGUGGAAUUCCAGGUGUAGCGGUGAAAUGCGUAGAUAUCUGGAGGAACACCGGUGGCGAAGGCGGCAUCCUGGACCGACAUUGACGCUGAGGCGCGAAAGCCAGGGGAGCAAACGGG
RNAcentral lists this ribosomal RNA (253 nucleotides) under uncultured bacterium. RNAcentral's name for it is "partial 16S ribosomal RNA". It matches the Rfam family "Bacterial small subunit ribosomal RNA", at positions 524 to 776 of the family's 1533-position model. The record is from RNAcentral.